AUGGCAAAGGUUUGUUUGGCUUCGGUCGUCGCAAGCCUCGAGACAACAAUGCCAUUCAGUUUGGAACUCGGGAAACUCCAGGAGGUCGCACAUGGCCAUAUAAGGGCAAGAGUUGGCCGCUCCAGGCUCGAUCCAUCGCCGCACAGGCACAUCCUAGCUAGAGACAUCGAUCGAUCAAUUGCAAUCAGGUCGGCCGCCACUUUUCGGUCGUGGAAGUCGAUCUCCGGCCAGCCCGUCGGUAUGUUCUGCCUGCUCGUGUCUCCGGAGCCGCUCCGCCGCGCGCAGCUCCUGUCCGACUCCGCGCCGCCGAGCACAGCAAGCUACAGGGCGGCCGUCGUUGGCCCGUCUACCACGCCGCUGGCCGUUUCUCGCCACGUCGCAGUGGAUAUCCCCGAUGGUUACGACGACGACGAGGGGGGCGACGACUCGGACGUCUACGAAUUGGAGACGACGACGCAGCACAUAAGCCCCGUUCGUAGGGUGCUCGCGAAGGCGGCGUUGGUUGCGUACACGGCGUUCGCCGCACCCGCCUUUGUGGUGACCGCGGCCACGCGGAGCAGCAACUGGCUCCAGGUGCUGCUGGUUGUGGUGCUGGUGCUGCUCACCUUCCUGUCGCUUUUCAUGGCCACGUUGUACGCCUUGGAAGACGAGGACAGGGAGAGGGAGGAAAGGGAACGAUGGCCUCGACGUCGCUCCGACAAGCGUGGAAUAAUGUGA
This 717-nucleotide ribosomal RNA is filed under the name Triticum aestivum (bread wheat). RNAcentral describes it as "partial small subunit ribosomal RNA". The record is from RNAcentral. Lineage: Eukaryota; Viridiplantae; Streptophyta; Magnoliopsida; Poales; Poaceae.